RNAcentral lists this ribosomal RNA (395 nucleotides) under uncultured bacterium. RNAcentral's name for it is "bacterial SSU rRNA". It matches the Rfam family "Bacterial small subunit ribosomal RNA", at positions 30 to 429 of the family's 1533-position model. The record is from RNAcentral.
AUUGAACGCUGGCGGCAUGCCUUACACAUGCAAGUCGAACGGCAGCGGACCUUCGGGUGCCGGCGAGUGGCGAACGGGUGAGUAAUGCAUCGGAACGUGCCAUUGAGUGGGGGAUAACGUAGCGAAAGUUGCGCUAAUACCGCAUAUUCUGUGAGCAGGAAAGCAGGGGGACCGCAAGGCCUUGCGCUCUUUGAGCGGCCGAUGUCAGAUUAGCUAGUUGGUGAGGUAACGGCUUACCAAGGCGACGAUCUGUAGCGGGUCUGAGAGGAUGAUCCGCCACACUGGAACUGAGACACGGUCCAGACUCCUACGGGAGGCAGCAGUGGGAAUUUUGGACAAUGGGGGCAACCCUGAUCCAGCCAUGCCGCGUGAGUGAAGAAGGCCUCGGUUGUAAA